GCUACGGUCACCUGACCGUGAUCGGGAGACGCAGGGGAGACGCCUUCUCCAGACACAGUUCUGUAGCAGCCGGCAGUUCCUCCACGCACCCACUGUACUCAGUGCUGUAUCAGCCAGCAGCCCCUCCACCCCCAAUGGACUCGGCAACAGAAAGCUGAGGUCAGGGUCCAAUUCACACUGGACCGACUGAUAAGCGACGCCCCCACGAAGCAUGGAGGGAUCACGCAUUUUGCAGAGGCAGGACUGCCGGCAGGGCCUUCUGCAGCUAUCAGAUGCAUUGAUGUACACCUGACCUGGACGGUGGACGAUCUCGAAGUCGUACGCGGCAAGCUUCUCGAGCCAUCGAGCUAAUUGUCUUUCAUUUUUGUCAACCAGCGCAGGCUGCUGUGAUCAGUGCGCACUUUGAAAGGACGUCCAAGGAGAUACUGGCGAAAAUGGCACGUGAAAUCAACAAUGGACAGUAGUUUCCGUCUCGUGGUACAGUAGUUCCAUUCAGUUUUUGUCAUCUUGGGACUUCCAUAUGCCAGCACCCUGCGCUAUGACCUGCUGCAUUUGUGAGAGUACAGCGCCGAUCCCUGUAUCACUUGCAUCAGUGUCCCGCACCAUGACCCCUUGGUCAAGUGGAUAGCCGAGGACAGGGGCGAGAGAGGCGUCUCCCAAAGGUCUCCACAACUCCCUGGCGAUCCUGCACGUCUACCGGAGAUUCCUGGAAACGUUGCAGAGACAUCUCAGCAACCUGGACUUUUCAACUUUUGUUGACACGCCAAGCCAACUUCCACCAGCAGCUGCCACCCAGAGGCUCCAAUUCACUCCCCCAAAAAUGAAAGCAUCAAACUGGAGCAUCUGCAUAACUCACAAUGGGAAAGGUGCACUCUGCUGGAAUAUUCAUGUUUUUAAACUUUGUCAGCUUUGUUGUAGAAGUUGGAAACGUUGAAAGAAAACUCACAAGGUCAUGUUUGGGGCUUUUAAUGAGGCAUAUGAGCGAAAGUAGUACUAUCUGCAUUGCAAAACGACACAAUGUCAUGUUAUUUACUGACUUAAUGGCUUUUGUGUCAUAUCUAGACAAGAAUAGACUUGAUUAGUGAUGCACAUGGAAUGAACUCUUCUCAAUCACUAAACGUGAUUAUUAAGUGCAAUCAGAGCACCAUGCUAAUCAAUGCCAUUAGCAUCCAAGCAUAACACUGACGAACACUUGCACCUGCUCGUGAGAGUGUGCCAACUCUGCAGGGAAUUAUUUUUAUUGAUCAACCAAUCGGAUGGAUCGUCAGCAUUAAAAAGUAAGAAAAGUCCUUGACUGCUGCUUCACAAUGAAUGAAGGUUAAAAAGAUUUUUCAUAAAGAUUGCUUCCACCGAUCAAAGCCUUCACAUUAUGUUUUAAUUGACCAGAAAAUGUACGAUCAAUGAUUCCCUCUGAGGAGAAAACUCAGUUUACAAAAAUAUGUAUACUGUAUUUAAUCUGAGGGAUGGGCACAUCACUCCCCUAUGCACGGUGCAUAGUUUGUUUGACAAAGUGGGACUGUAAUGUUUAACAGUACCUUUUUGUGGUAUUCAUAAAAAAAUAUUAUUAUUAUUAUUGCUAUUACUAGAAGUAUUUGUAGUAGUAGCAUAAAUAAUUAUUGUUGUUAUUAUUAUUGCUAUGAUUAUCCUUAUUCUUGUUAUUGUUGAUAUUAUUAUAGUAGUGGUUGCUACUAUCAUCAAUAUCAUUAGUUUUUUUGUCAUCAAGUGUUGUUUUCAUGAGUAUUGUGAUCACUAUUGUUGUUUUUAUCAUUAUCGCUGUUGUCAUCGUCAUUGUUAGUCAUUGACAUUGUUAUUGUCAUUGCUGUUAUUGUUCUUAUUUAUGUUGAUGUUAUUAUUGUCGUUGGUGUUGUUAUUACUGUUGUCAUUAAGUUUUUAAUGUCAUUAUUAUGUUAUUAUUAUUAUGAUUGCCUUUGUCAAAUGAUAAGAAAUAACAAGAUAAUAAUGACACUACAAUAAUAAAAAUACACACUUCUGUAUGAUGAAUAUUCAA
Molecule: long non-coding RNA, 2008 nt
Organism: Phyllopteryx taeniolatus (common seadragon)
Lineage: Eukaryota; Metazoa; Chordata; Actinopteri; Syngnathiformes; Syngnathidae
Exons: 2
Source: RefSeq, a predicted model, not a curated record